Molecule: unclassified non-coding RNA, 979 nt
Filed under: Hevea brasiliensis (rubber tree)
Lineage: Eukaryota; Viridiplantae; Streptophyta; Magnoliopsida; Malpighiales; Euphorbiaceae
Source: RNAcentral
AGCACAGACAAUAGUACUAGAUUUUAAAAAUUAUCUCAUAGUAGUAUAUACAUCUGGGAAAUUUUAAGAUAAGUCUUCACAACUUAGAAGAUGAAGGACUACUGGUUCGAAAUGAGAAAUAAAAAGCAAAUCCAGGCACAUAGUUUGAUUAAAGAUAUGUUCCGACUAGGAAACAAAAGUAUCAAGUUUUCUAACACAUGAACUUCCACACAACCGUGCAAUACGAGUCAAACCCACUGAAUCUUCCUUGCGUUGAUAUAAUUCAUCGCAUGUUAUCUCUGCGCCUGUUGUAUCUAUUGGGUCUUAUUCUGUCGUUACGCUGAGGGACAGGCUCUACUCUCCUCUGUCGUUCAGGUGAUCUUUGAAUUAUCUCCCCGUUGACAAAAAGUUCAGCUCCAUAAUCCUUGUAUUCAGGAUCAACAUAGGAAUCAGGCAGCACAAACAGAACACCUGGCAAACCUUCCAUUUUAUUAGCAGUCUCUUCAUCAACUUCACAUCCGAAACCAAAGUACCUCUCACAAGAGACAUUGUAAAUCUUCUUUUUUGCUUCCUCUUCACUCCCGAGGACUUUAGCAAGGGUUUGGACAUAACAAUCAAUCAUUUGCUGUUUAUGAGCUCCUUCUCCACCAGGCUUAUCCAUAACAAUGAGCCAGUGCUCGUAAUCGCAUCCCGGAAACAGUGGUGCCAUCUCAGUCGGAGCUCGGUCCCCGGUUCCUGGAGUGUAAGGAGAGCUACCGGACCGGUUAACUCUGAACCGUACCGUAUUGAGGCUAAACGGCUUGAGGCCAUUAGGGUUGGUAGGUAGAAGGGAGUGUGAGAGCAGAAAUGACGGCUGAGGUGAAGAUCCGACGGCAGGAAGUGACGGCGGUUGAGUAAUCGACGGCGAUGAAGCGGAGGAGAUGAAACGAGUAGAAAAACGAUAAGUGUAGAGGGUUCUAGAAAUGGAUUUGGUGAUUUUGGAGGCCAUUGAUGAAGUUUU